GUCGAGUCAAUAAUGUCCAUAGAAUCUGAAAUGUUGCAGCGUCUCAGCCUGAUAUUGAGCUUUGAAAGUUCAUCCUGCAAAUGAUUAACUUGAUUUUGUAAAGAGAAGCUUUUGUGUACAAGAUAUGCAAAGCACAUCACCAGUAUCUCUUUGAAGGCUUAAUACAUAGUUUUCCUCAUGAGUCCGUAGAAUCUGAAAUGUUGC
RNAcentral lists this unclassified non-coding RNA (204 nucleotides) under Hevea brasiliensis (rubber tree). Lineage: Eukaryota; Viridiplantae; Streptophyta; Magnoliopsida; Malpighiales; Euphorbiaceae. The record is from RNAcentral.